UCAAGUCCCUCUAUCCCCAAAAAAGAUAAAAAGAUCAUUUGAUUCUCUA
Molecule: transfer RNA, 49 nt
Filed under: Rheum moorcroftianum
Lineage: Eukaryota; Viridiplantae; Streptophyta; Magnoliopsida; Caryophyllales; Polygonaceae
Description: partial tRNA-Leu
Source: RNAcentral